This 1250-nucleotide ribosomal RNA is filed under the name metagenome. RNAcentral describes it as "bacterial LSU rRNA". It matches the Rfam family "Bacterial large subunit ribosomal RNA", at positions 1635 to 2877 of the family's 2925-position model. The record is from RNAcentral.
UAUACGACCGUACCGCAAACCGACACUGGUGCGCGAGAUGAGUAUUCUAAGGCGCUUGAGAGAACUCAGGAGAAGGAACUCGGCAAAUUGACACCGUAACUUCGGAAGAAGGUGUGCCCUAUUAGUGUGUAGUGAACAACGAAGCAUGAAUGGGUUGCAAAAAAUCGGUGGCUGCGACUGUUUAUUAAAAACACAGCACUCUGCAAACACGAAAGUGGACGUAUAGGGUGUGACGCCUGCCCGGUGCUGGAAGAUUAAAUGAUGGGGUGCAAGCUCUUGAUUGAAGUCCCAGUAAACGGCGGCCGUAACGAUAACGGUCCUAAGGUAGCGAAAUUCCUUGUCGGGUAAGUUCCGACCUGCACGAAUGGCGUAACGAUGGCCACACUGUCUCCUCCUGAGACUCAGCGAAGUUGAAAUGUUUGUGAUGAUGCAAUCUCCCCGCGGAAAGACGGAAAGACCCCAUGAACCUUUACUGUAGCUUUGUAUUGGACUUUGAACAGAUCUGUGUAGGAUAGGUGGGAGGCUUUGAAGCAGGGUCGCUAGAUCUUGUGGAGCCAACGUUGAAAUACCACCCUGGUGUGUUUGAGGUUCUAACCUAGGUCCAUUAUCUGGAUCGGGGACAGUGCAUGGUAGGCAGUUUGACUGGGGCGGUCUCCUCCCAAAGCGUAACGGAGGAGUUCGAAGGUACGCUAGUUACGGUCGGACAUCGUGACGAUAGUGCAAUGGCAUAAGCGUGCUUAACUGCGAGACUGACAAGUCGAGCAGAUGCGAAAGCAGGACAUAGUGAUCCGGUGGUUCUGUAUGGAAGGGCCAUCGCUCAACGGAUAAAAGGUACUCUGGGGAUAACAGGCUGAUACCGCCCAAGAGUUCAUAUCGACGGCGGUGUUUGGCACCUCGAUGUCGGCUCAUCUCAUCCUGGGGCUGUAGCCGGUCCCAAGGGUAUGGCUGUUCGCCAUUUAAAGAGGUACGUGAGCUGGGUUUAAAACGUCGUGAGACAGUUUGGUCCCUAUCUUCCGUGGGCGCUGCAGAUUUGAGGAAGCCUGCUCCUAGUACGAGAGGACCGGAGUGGACACACCUCUGGUGUAUCGGUUGUCACGCCAGUGGCAUUGCCGAGUAGCUAAGUGUGGAAGAGAUAACCGCUGAAAGCAUCUAAGCGGGAAACUCGUUUCAAGAUGAGAUCUGCCGGGGCCUUGAGCCCCCUAAAGAGUCGUUCAAGACCAGGACGUUGAUAGGUCAGGUGUGGAAGCGAC